Molecule: non-coding RNA, 119 nt
Filed under: Chromera velia
Lineage: Eukaryota; Chromeraceae
Source: RNAcentral
ACGAGCACAGAAAGAGAGAGAGAGAUGAACCAAGGUGACUAGAAGACAGUCGUUCAAAAGGAACACAACAAACCUUUCCCAUUUACCUUUCUUUCUUUCCUUUUUUUUUUCUUUCGCCU